This 57-nucleotide transfer RNA is filed under the name Mesocricetus auratus (golden hamster). It matches the Rfam family "tRNA", at positions 8 to 63 of the family's 71-position model. From Rfam's summary of the family: Transfer RNA (tRNA) molecules are approximately 80 nucleotides in length. Lineage: Eukaryota; Metazoa; Chordata; Mammalia; Rodentia; Cricetidae. The record is from Rfam by way of RNAcentral.
UAGCUUAGCUGCAAAGCACUUGCCUUCCAUGCAAAAGAUCUUAGGUUCAAUUCAUAA